AGAAACGUCUUCUGUGCCCCUGGACAAGUCCCGGCACAGCUAAAAGCAGUGUGAUACUGUAUUCUCCUGAAGGACUGAAAAGCCUUUUUGGUAGGCAGGAAGGCACUCCAAGAGCUCAGAAGGAAUUGCUGCAUCAAUUCAGAGGCAAUUGCCUCAGAAGGGGCUUUCUGAACCAUUCCUGGAGAAAGAAGCACAAGUGGCCGAUGGAGCGGUUCAGGGGCUGCAGCAGCAAGAAACUUAAAGCAGGGUGCCCAGAAACCGCCCAGGGAAACUGCAGUCAGUUGUGCCCUUCCACGAGACCAGAAGGGUUUGAGUCAUGACUCUGCGUGGAGCACUUCGAAAGGAAGUCUCAGAGCUAUUCACAAGCUUCAAAACAAAUAAUCUCUCUGCUGAUGCGUGACAUCAUGCCCCCAAGAGAUCCUGCACAGCGCGCCUGAGAAGCGAGACGUCCUUCCUACCAGGCGCUGUCUCCCAACGUCAGCGAGAGCAGCGGGAGUGCGGAGUGCCAAGGGAGGGCGCACGCUGAGUCCAGGCCUGUCCCCAGCAGUGGGUGGUGCCACUAUUUCAGCCGCCGUUUACCCUGAGCAUCACACAGAGAACGGUCUGCCAAGCAAUAGCUCCGCCACAGGACUUUCAGCUGUUAUUUUUUUACUCACAGAUCCACCUCUCGGAUCAUUUUGGCUUUCUGAAGUCUGCCCCCAGACUGAUUGCAAAUACAGAGUCAGCCGGUUAUUUUCUGUACCUCAAAUGGCACGGGCUGAGUAAGGUCAGACCUCUUCCAUCUACUCCGAUCAGCUGCUACUCCCUGCGCUUAGACUUUCUUUGGUUUGAUGCCGGUGCUGUAAGCACAGAAUCCUCCUGCACAGAUCUACUCUUUAAAACUGUCACGUAUUUCUUCAGGAAAAAAAAAAAAUCCUCCUGUGAAACUACAACGUUGGGUCUGACGGCGCGUAGGCAGACGUUACAAUGACGUGAGACAGCUUCCCAGCGUGAGAGGCUGGGCCUGUGUGGCGGCGUCACCGUUACCAGGUCUCGCGUAAACUAGGCUCACUGCACUGUGGGUGUAGUUCAGCUGGAGAGAAAAGUGAUGAAAGAACAAGCUCCUGGCUGUGGAGCUCCAGUCUAACACUGGAGUUUCAUGGCAAGAAUAAAGUCACUCUUUACCCACACCUCUACCAUCAGUACGACUGAUGGAGCAGUGCUUGCUACCAGAGAUGAGGUCUAUCUGGCCUUGUAGCUGGCUUUGUUGGUGAUACUUGAUGUUGGUUUUUACUUAGUUCCUUGUUUAUUAUUGUAUGACGAGAGCUAUAACCUAACUCCUAUUUGUAACUACGGUACAAGGAUUAUUCCUUUUCAAGUUUGUGGGUAAAGAAGAUGCUUUUGCAUCCGUGUGGUGAGGUCAGUUGUGGAGGGCUGUGCUCCAAAUAAGAGCCAUGCAUAGUGCUGCUAAGUCUGUGCUGGUGAAUUUGGUUUUCAGGGCUCAUGUGCUGCUCACUGAAGCUGGCAGAAGGGUUAGAUCGCUUUAUCAGUUAAUUUUACCCUUCCUUCCUAUCACCUUCAACAUUUGCCAGCCACAAUUGCCCUCCACUUUUCUAUUGUAUCCUAUUCCAUGGAAUACCUGACUAGUACUUUUUUGAUUCUCUCACUCUACUGCAUAGUUAACUCGGACAAGCCAUUUAAAAAGCAUCUAACAAUGAUUAGGCAACGGAAGGGACCCACUCUGUCCCUCCCCCUCAGUAGCCUGCAUCUCCCAGGCCUCUGCAGUGCCUGCAAAUCCAACAGGCCAGAUGCUGCCCAUGGCAGCACUGCGGCUGCUCUCAGCUCCUCGGGCUGGAGAGAGGCGGCAGUGCGGGGCAGUGGCCAAGAGCGCGUGCUUUGCUUGGACACCUUCAGCGGCAGCGUCUCUCCCAAUCCACAGCCCAAAACGGGGCUGCGAAGGAACGACAGUGCGUUCACGGUGACACAAUAUGGGGCAUCACCCAGUGCGAAGGGUGGCCUCUGUGGCUCUGUCUACAUACAAGAUUCAGCUCUUGCGAUGGCCCAAUUGCCAGAGAGGAAAACAAAGGAGAAGCAUAAAAUAGGAAUCACUUCCUCCAAAAUAAAUCUUUAAAAAGUGCAUGCCUCAUCUAGCCCUCUUGGCACAAAUAAUAUUGAUGAUGCUUAUUGCCUCUCCAUUUUCUUCCUUAGAAUCCCCAGCAAAAUCUUAAAGUUACUAUCUCCAGCCAUAACAAGACUAUUUAGGGAUGCAGGCUAGGGACCCUCACCAGACUGAAAUCAUGUCAAGGCCCUGGGGAAACUGCAAUUGCAACUGAGUCAGUGUCAGCCAAGAUACACUUGCCUUAUACAGAAAGCCACUGAGGGACCACAAGGACACAGCAUAGCCUAAAAGCUGACAGUUGCUUUUCCAUGGGAAGCAAAGAAAAAAGUAGUAUCAAACUUAAACAGAUCUUUGUACACGUACUUGUAUUUGUCUGUCUAGCCUUUGACCUUUCUGGCUUAUUUAACUCUCUCAGGAGCCACAUAUUAACUGCAGGGUUAAUGUAUAGCGAGAGGAUUGCAAAGCAAGAGAACAGGCUGUAACCAUGAAGACGCUGAAUUUGAAAUGGUUGUUGUGAAGUUCUGCCCCAGGAAUGAAGACUUUCUUUUAAGUCUGAUGGGCUGUGAGGAACUCAGAUUACUUCUGUAAUUACUUCUGUGAAGUGUCCUUUCCUGUGUGUCAAUACAAGUGAUCUCUUUGGGCAGGCUCAGAAGUUUGGGGCUUAACAGAACUGGAAAUAAAAUCAUCACUUCAGA
Molecule: long non-coding RNA, 2793 nt
Organism: Dromaius novaehollandiae (emu)
Lineage: Eukaryota; Metazoa; Chordata; Aves; Casuariiformes; Dromaiidae
Exons: 5
Source: RefSeq, a predicted model, not a curated record